AGGACGAACGCUGGCGGCGUGCCUAACACAUGCAAGUCGAACGGAGCUGUUAUGGAAAUUCCUUCGGGGAUGGAAGUUUCAGCUUAGUGGCGAACGGGUGAGUAACGCGUGAGCAACCUGCCUUUCAGUGGGGGGACAACAGUUGGAAACGACUGCUAAUACCGCAUGAUGUCAUCGAGGGACAUCCCUUGAUGACCAAAGCUUUAUGUGCUGAAAGAUGGGCUCGCGUCUGAUUAGCUAGAUGGCGGGGUAACGGCCCACCAUGGCGACGAUCAGUAGCCGGUCUGAGAGGAUGAACGGCCACAUUGGGACUGAGAUACGGCCCAGACUCCUACGGGAGGCAGCAGUGGGGAAUAUUGGGCAAUGGGGGAAACCCUGACCCAGCAACGCCGCGUGAAGGAAGAAGGCCUUCGGGUUGUAAACUUCUUUUACCAGGGACGAAGAACGUGACGGUACCUGGAGAAAAAGCAACGGCUAACUACGUG
Molecule: ribosomal RNA, 485 nt
Filed under: uncultured bacterium
Lineage: Bacteria
Description: bacterial SSU rRNA
Rfam family: Bacterial small subunit ribosomal RNA
Source: RNAcentral